UACGGAGGGGGCUAGCGUUGUUCGGAAUUACUGGGCGUAAAGCGCACGUAGGCGGCUUUGCAAGUUAGAGGUGAAAGCCCGGGGCUCAACUCCGGAAUUGCCUUUAAAACUGCAUCGCUAGAAUUGUGGAGAGGUAAGUGGAAUUCCGAGUGUAGAGGUGAAAUUCGUAGAUAUUCGGAAGAACACCAGUGGCGAAGGCGACUUACUGGACCGUAACUGACGCUGAGGCGCGAAAGCGUGGGGAGCAAACAGG
RNAcentral lists this ribosomal RNA (253 nucleotides) under uncultured bacterium. Its description in RNAcentral is "partial 16S ribosomal RNA". It matches the Rfam family "Bacterial small subunit ribosomal RNA", at positions 524 to 776 of the family's 1533-position model. The record is from RNAcentral.